RNAcentral lists this long non-coding RNA (404 nucleotides) under Mytilus galloprovincialis (Mediterranean mussel). The record is from RNAcentral. Lineage: Eukaryota; Metazoa; Mollusca; Bivalvia; Mytilida; Mytilidae.
AUUUUGUCAUGUUAAAGCCUUGUAUAGAUGCUAUAUCAUGGUUCAAUAGGAUUUGAUCAUUAUUGAAGGUCUAACAACGGCUAUUAAAUGAAUUAAAUGAAAGAGCACAAAAAAUAAUAACUUAUAUCUGUAUGCAGAUAUGUGCCUUAAAAGUGUAUAAAGCAACACCAAUAUUAAGUUAAGCAACAGGAAGUAAUAAAUAUUUUGGAUAAUGGACAUGGGAAUAUAUACUGUAAAAGCAGAAUAUUUUCGUGGAUGACUUAAUUUUGUUUAUUUCGUGGAAAGAAUAUAUCCACAAGGUAAAACCGCCAAAAACAUUUUACUUUCAUAUAAUGUAACUUCCAAUUGAUGGAAACCACAAAAUUAUCUUUUAAAACUACAAAACCACGAAAUUUUAACCCCAC